GUGAAUCAUCGAAUUUUUGAACGCAAAUUGCACUCUCUGGCAUUCCGGAGAGUAUGCCUGUUUGAGGGUCAGUUUAAAUAAAAAUCGAUGUGUUGCUUUUUGGUUGCCCAACGGAUUUGGGUUAUCUUUGACCUUUUAAAAGGUUUUAGCUAUCUAAAAUUGAUACCUUGUGCAUCUCAGACGUUCAUAAGAAUAUUUGUCUAGUCGUCCGGAGUUUCCAA
RNAcentral lists this unclassified non-coding RNA (221 nucleotides) under Glomeraceae sp. Its description in RNAcentral is "partial contains 5.8S ribosomal RNA and internal transcribed spacer 2". The stretch from base 1 to 71 matches the Rfam family "5.8S ribosomal RNA", at positions 84 to 154 of the family's 154-position model. Lineage: Eukaryota; Fungi; Glomeromycota; Glomeromycetes; Glomerales; Glomeraceae. The record is from RNAcentral.